This 5458-nucleotide long non-coding RNA is filed under the name Sus scrofa (pig). RNAcentral's name for it is "lncRNA (ENSSSCG00000055772.1)". Lineage: Eukaryota; Metazoa; Chordata; Mammalia; Artiodactyla; Suidae. The record is from RNAcentral.
CAGGGAAACCUCCAAGAAGAGAGAGGACCUGAGAGAGUCUGAUGCUCCUUCGGCCUCUGAGCCAGACCUCUCUCGUCGGAGCCCUAUGCUGCCUGCCUGACUUCUCUGCUGGGAGACGUGUCGGGGCUGGAACCCUGACCUCCUUCCCUGGCUCCCUUCAGUCCUCUGUCUCUUGGGAAAUGGAAUCAUCAUCCAUCCAAUUCCCUGUUUGUUUCCGUCACAGGAUCCCAGCCAGUCUUCUAUUUACUUGUGUGCUGGUUUGGGGUCUGCCUUUCUCACUAGCUUGUAAGCACUAUAAGAACAAGACUAGGUGUGUCUUUUUCACCAUAGACUGUGCGGGACGUAAUUCAGGGCUGGCUAGUCGGUGGGGGAGAAGGCUUGGGAGGUGGGAAGAGCAUAACUGAUGUCAGUCGUCAACAGCCUCCGAAGCGCGGGUUACCCCCGAAAACACAGGGUGACUCCCAGAGGACGUUUCAUGGUCGCAUCAAGUCCUUUUACUCCAUUGCUCCUCAGGAACCUGGUCUGUGCUUCCGCGAUCCUGCCUCCUCUCCGCCCAUCGGUUUAACCCAGAGUGUUUGUCUUCUCGUUCUGAGCUGAACCAUCCUCCUGCCUCUGCAGGCAGCACAGAGCAGUGAGAGGAGCACUGGAAGAGGUGGAGCAAGGUGUGGUGUCGGGAGACUGGCGAUUGCGGUGGCCUCUUCUCCCCACCUCCCCAGGACACGUGCCGUGUCCUGGGAAGCCAGGUGGAGUAGUGGUCCAGAACACAGCUUCUGGGGUCCACAGAGCUGGUUUGAAUCCGAGACCUGCCACGUUUCAGCUGUCAGAGCCUAGCCUCUCUGAGUCUUAGUUUCCUUAUCUGUAGAAUGGGGAUAAAAAUAACAUCUCGUAGUUGUAUGCAUUACAGUAAUAUAUAUAUAUAUAUUAUAGUCUUUUUAGGGCCACACCCAUGGCAUAUGGAGGUUCCCAGGCUAGGGGUCAAAUCGGAGCUACAGCUGCCAGCCUACACCAUAGCUCACGGCAACCCCACUGAGUGAGGCCAGGGAUCGAACCUGCAUCCUCAUGGAUACUAGUCAGAUUCAUUUCCACUGAGCCAUGAUGGGAACUCCAGAUGUUAUAUUUCAAGUGCUUCAUCUUUUUUUUUUUUUGUCUUUUUUGAGGGCCGCACCCAUGGCAUAGGGGUCUAAUGGGAGCUGUAGCCACUGGCCUACACCACAGCCACAGCAACAGCAGAUCCAAGCUAAGUCUGUGACCUACACCACAGCUCAUGGCAAUGCCAGAUCCUUAACCCACUGAGUGAGGCCAGGGAUUGAACCCGCAACUUCAUGGUUCCUAGUUGAAUUCAUUUCUGCUGCGCCACGAUGGGAACUCCAGUGCUCCAUCUUGUACCUGACAAACAGGAAGUAUUCCAUAAAGAGUAACUAUUAAUGAGGGCAUAUCUGUUCAUGGUUGUAUAAAUAUGGACUUUUGAAUCUUUUGAACUUCUCUAAGUUUGGUGACAAUUAGGGUUUGCAAAGAAGGCAAGUAUAUUAAUCAGAAAUCCUAGUUGCAACAGACAGAAAACACAGUUAAGACUGACUUUAAGUAAAAAAGGGAAUUUAUCAACUCAUAAAAUUGUAAAACCCUGACAUAUCUAGCUUCAGGCAUGGCUGGAUCCAGGAGCUCAGAUGGUGUCUUCAGGAAGCUCUCUUUGCAUUGUUGGGCUCUGCUUUUCUCACUGCUGCUCCAUGUCCAGGCAGGAUCCCACCUUGAGAUAACAAGAUAGCUGCCCAGUUCUGUGCAUACUCUCUAUUUUGUCAAUAAAUCCAGCAGAAAGAGCUUCUUUCCCUCAUAAUCCUUCUGACAGAAGUCCUGGGUCAGACUCUUAUUAUCUUGAACCAGGCCCAGUGCCUAUCCCUGCACCAAUCACAGAAGCUGGUAGGGGCUUCAUCUCUAUUCAAAACAGAGAUGAAUUGGUGGGAGAAAUGGGUGAAGGGGGCAAAAAUGCACAAACUUCUGGGUAUAAAAGAAAGAAGUCAUGGGGCUAUAACGGACAACAUGGUGACUGCAGUUAAUUAUGCUGUGUUGUAUAUCUGAAAGCUGCCAAAAGAAUAAAUCUUAGAAAUUCUCAUCACAGGGAAAAAAUUUUUGUGGAUUCAUAAAAGGGUGAUUGUUAAGACUUAUUGUGGUCAUCAUUCCACAAUGUAUACGAAUAUCAAGUUAUUAUGUUGUACACCUGAAACGAACGAACAUAGUGUUACAUGUCAAUUAUACCUCAAUGAAAACAAACAAACAAAUACAUACGUAUAAAAUCGGUGGGCAGGUGAUUCCCUAAGGAAAAUGUGGAUGCUCCUAUCAGAAGUAGGUAAAUGGCUGCACAGGCUGAAGCUGUGGUGGGCUUUGGAAAGCAGAUGCGAUUUGGGCAGAUGGAGAGGAGGGGGGAAGGCGCCCCAGGGAUUCACAGCAGAGCAGAAGUGAGGAGGGGGGAGGAAGUGUGCUGUGAGCACGACCUGCACAUCUGCGGCAGAGGGGGCAGGCGUGUCUGUGGAGUCCUAGAAAGAAGACCUGGGGGAGUUCCUGUAAUGGCUCAGCGGUUAAGGAACCCGACUAGCAUCCACAAGGAUUCAGGUUCCAUCCCUGGCCUUGCUCAGUGGGUUAAGGAUCCAGCAUUGCCGUGAGCUGUGGUGUAGGUCAUGGACGCAGCUCAGAUCCCAUAUUGCUGUGGCUGUGGCAUUGUGUAGGCCAGUGGCUACAGCUCCGAUUGGACCCCUAGCCUGGUGUGGCCCUAAAAAAAAAAAAAGAGAAGAUGACCUGGGACCAAGUGGGCUUGGGGAUCGGGGAGUCACGGGAUCACAGGAUCCAGACCUCGCUUACGGGGACUGUGGGACAGGCUGCCCCUCACGUGAACAGGCUUCCUCCCACCCCUGGAGGUGAGCAAGUAGAGCUCCCUUGUCAGAGUGACCAGCAGAGAAGCCUUCUAGAUGGGCUCUGAGAGCCCUCGCAUCCUUCAAAUAUGACUUUCUAUCGUCCAGGAACCCUCAGCUUCCCCCUCUCCCGACCCCCAGCCCUUCUCUCUCCCGCGCUGCUCGCUAAGGCAAAUGCUCCAUCCUUGCCCCUGACAUGGUUACAGAGUUUCUGAAGACAUUCUGGAUUCUCAUUCUGGCUCCUACAGCCAGGGUAGGACCUUAGGGGAACCACUUGUUCUCUCUGAGGCUGUUUCUCCCUCAGCCCAGGAAGGGGUGAGGCUGUGUGAUCUCCGAGGCCCCUGCCAGCCCUGACCCUCUUGAGUGCUCUGUCCCUCAGCCUGGCGACCUGGGGAGUGACAGGACGCACCACAGGUCUCAGGCUAACCUGGCAGCUUGGCGCUCCAGGGUCUUCAAAGGCAACUUCAUCCUCACUGUGUCGUCUGGUCCUGUCACCUUCCUGUGAGGAGGGAGAGCGGGAGUCCCAGGGGUGCUGUUUAAGGCACAGCCUUGGGAGUCCAGACUUGAGUUCAAAUCAUGGGGCCCUUCCUCUAACUCACUGUGUGAACUUGGGAAAAGCUUCAUCUGCGUUAGUUUCUUCUUCUGAAAACACAGGCAGCAGUGCCAUCUGUGGGCUUGUUAUUUGUGUGAUGAUUAAGUGUAAAGUGCCUAGAACAGCUCUGGGCCCACGUGGGCUGGGCUGGAGAGAGAGGUGACUGGUGGAAUUACGCUAUAGGCUGAAUAACAGGGACUCCUGGCAGGUGCCCAGCAUCUCACAGGGUAUAGCAGGCCCCCAGUCCAGCCUCUGAUGGCAGAUUAAGGCUGCGUAUCAGUCAGGGUUCUGGUAGGAGACAGAUGGCACCCUGGUACUUCAAAGAGAGCUUGACGGAGGGUUUAGGAACAUGGUGGGGAAAGCGCCACUUGGUGGGAGGGUGAGGGGAGGACGGGGUUACUGGGACCCAGGAGGACCGCCAGGCUGGAGCUGUGACCUCACAUGGAGCCUGAAACCGACUCGAACUGACCCAGCAGGGACAGAGCUGGGGAACGAGUCCCCUCCUGUCCCUCCACUCCCUUCCCGCCCAUCCUUUGAUCUCCAGCCCCGGCCUCUUUUUGGCUCCAAACCAAAAGAAAGCUUGAGAGCAAGGAGGUCCGGGGAGGAUGGAGAAGGGAGGGGCGAGAGGGAGGAUCCGGCGGUCUGGGCAGCAGUCAGAUGGGUGGAGGCCUCCCCAUUCCUUUUCAGCCUGUCCUGGGCGGUCAGGAGGAGGAGGAGGACUCAGGAACGUGGAAGGAGGCUCGGGACCCAGGCUGUUCCUCCCAGAAAGGGGGAGAAGGAUACUCUGCUCUUCCUAAAAUACCCACCUGCUCGCUCUCACCUCCAGGCCUUUGCCUGUACCGUUCUCUCUGCCCGGAACACCCUUCCUCCUCAGGCUGCUAACUCGCCCUUAGUGCUUCCUCCUGGCUCAUCUGUGCCUGAAGUCUAUCCCCAGACUUUUUAGUUACAAGAUCCAAGUUAAUUAUCUUUUCAUUUGAGCUAGUUUAGAGCUAGAUUUUCUCUUGCUCUACAACUAGAAUUCUAAGUCAAUGUCCCUUGAGCCUUUUCUGCCUCUUCCCUUUUAAGAUGAGUCACUUUCUCUACGUUCCCACAGUACCCAUGGAUACUUCUCUCAGGGUGCUUGUAACAGGCUACAGCACACGUUUCUUACUGGUGUGUCUCGUCUACAAAGCUGCGAGCUGCUGGAACACAGGACCCCCGUUUGAUCCAUCUCUGCUUCCCCACGUCCAGCACAGGCUGACACACCUCGCACUGGCCAGAUCACACCAGGCAUGUGAUCUUCAGUUCCAGGCAACAUGAGUGAAGGGCACACUAGCCAGUCAGAGGCUGUGGAGAUGAGGGUGGAAUCUGGAAGCCACAUUUUAGGAAGAAAAGAAGAAUUAGGAAAACUUAAAGAAGAGACUGCUCCUAGGAUAGAAUUCAUUUGCUGACUCCACAAAACAUUUCUGGGCACCUCUGGGUGAGGCCCUGGGCUGAUCCUGAGGGGGCCAUGGAUACUGCAGCUACCGUCCCUGCCUGGGGAGCUCACAGUCCGAUGGGGUCAGACCUGGAAACAAGUACAUCAUAGCGGCACUGCCACCUGAGGGGGACGCAGGGUGUGGCCAGGGAAGGCCUCUCAAGGAGGACUUCCAAGAGGGCAAAAUUAUAACACUACUGGGGGCAGCUUUCAGUUUGAGAUGAGGAAUAACUUUCUAACAAUCAGAAUUACGAAGAAUGUGGAGUUCCCGUUGUGGCUUAGUGGUUAAUGAAUCCAACUAGGAACCAUGAGGUUGCGGGUUUGAUCCCUGGCCUUGCUCAGUGAGUUAAGGAUCCGGCGUUGCCGUGAGCUGUGAUGUCGGCUGCAGAUGCGGCUCGGAUCCCGAGUUGCUGUGGCUCUGGCGUAGGCCGGCAGCAACAGUUCCGAUUCGACCCCUAGCCUGGGAACUUCCAUAUGCUGCGGGAGCGGCCCCAGAAAAGGCAAAAAGAC